RNAcentral lists this ribosomal RNA (253 nucleotides) under uncultured bacterium. RNAcentral's name for it is "partial 16S ribosomal RNA". It matches the Rfam family "Bacterial small subunit ribosomal RNA", at positions 524 to 776 of the family's 1533-position model. The record is from RNAcentral.
UACGUGGGGACCGAGCGUUGUUCGGAUUUACUGGGCGUAAAGGGCGCGUAGGUGGCUUGACAAGUCACUUGUGAAAUCUCCGGGCUUAACUCGGAACGGCCAAGUGAAACUGUCAUGCUAGAGUGCAGAAGGGGCAAUCGGAAUUCUUGGUGUAGCGGUGAAAUGCGUAGAUAUCAAGAGGAACACCUGAGGUGAAGACGGGUUGCUGGGCUGACACUGACGCUGAGGCGCGAAAGCCAGGGGAGCAAACGGG